AUGCUUCUCUGUGUCUGAGUGCUGUUGCAGGCGGUUCAGGCACUCCGUCCUCUCUGCAGAAAGUCGCUCAACCAUCAGCUUGUCCAAAACACGCAUUUGGUGCUGGGUCUUAUUCUCCAUCUGCCCCAGCUUUGUAUUCAUUUUGUCCUGAACCGAUCCCAGCUCUGCUUUUAUCUCCUCCACAGUAGCCUCCAACUGAUUCUCCAGCUUGUUGAUUAGAGGUUCACAUCGACAACCAUUUAUUGGUGCCUGCAUCACUUUCCCAUCCUUGCCCCGGUACAAUGUGUAGAGCUGAUACGCCCUGAACUCAUGGGGUGGGGGUGGGGAUGAACACCGAUGCCUGUUCCUCUUUUUAGGGUGAUUAUGAGCAUGCAGGUUCUUCUGGUGUCCAGGCUGUUGGUCGGCUGGUGGGGUGGGGUCAGAAAAUGCUGACACCUUGGGCCUUGACUUUCUCCUCCUGUCAUCCUUUGCUCUGGGUUCUGGGGAGGCUGACAGGAACUCUUCUCUGGCUUCUUCUUUUCUGGCCACAGCCUGUUCACUGCUGGGGGUGUCUCCUGCUGAGACACUGCCCUUGGUAACCGCUACCCUGGCGCCCUUGUUGAUGAGCUGAACCACAUUCUCUGUUUGGCCUUUGUACGCAGCUACGAGAAGGCGCUCUGAAAGUGCAGCGACCGCAUCUUGCUGGCUCAUGAAUUAGGAAAGAAAGGUUUUCAGGGAAGCGGUAGACAAGUUCCUUCAGCUCAACACGAAGUCACUGGCCCGGCCUGGCACCCAGAGCUUCCAGAACACUUCCUCCUUCUGAGAAGAUCUACUCCCACAGGUAGGGCCCUUAACACAGUACUACCUAUGAGGACACUCAGCACUGACUGCUCACGGAACCUGGUGCCCACCAGGACUAUUUGCGAAAGAAGGGAAAUGACAGGGUGGACACGCUCUGCUUUAGCAAGCCCAUGACUCAUUAUAAAUACACCCCACUGUCACAAAGAAACAAGUAUGUUUAUUUCUUGAGCCAUUUAAAGCACAAAAACUCUCUUCUUCUAACUCUGUCACUGAAUCUUUUGAAAUAACCACCUCUGCAGGAGGCAUAGAGGCUGUUACAGUGAAAGCUGAGUGACAUCUGAAUAUUAUUCAGGAAACCUGUGACAUACCCUUCCAAGAAAAGCUGCUUACAGAUGUAAAAAUCACAUAGGAGGAAUAAGCACAUAUCACCGAAUAAAGAUGUGACUGACAGAAGGCUUGGGAGGUAGAGACCGUCCCUUUUUAUGUAGGACAAUAACUUAUUGACUGACCAGCACUGCUAGACCACCAGAGCCUCCAAGUCAGGGCUGGGCACUCCCAUCACUUGGCAAAUGACCAUGCGCAUACUCAAAGUUCAGACCAAGUGUUAUCUCUGCUAAGCCUUCUGCUGUCCCUGCCUUGCCCUAGACAAGAUG
This 1433-nucleotide long non-coding RNA is filed under the name Homo sapiens (human). RNAcentral describes it as "HSALNT0335605". Lineage: Eukaryota; Metazoa; Chordata; Mammalia; Primates; Hominidae. The record is from RNAcentral.